Molecule: ribosomal RNA, 305 nt
Filed under: uncultured bacterium
Lineage: Bacteria
Description: bacterial SSU rRNA
Rfam family: Bacterial small subunit ribosomal RNA
Source: RNAcentral
UGUCCUACGGGGGGCAGCAGUGAGGAAUAUUGGUCAAUGGCCGAGAGGCUGAACCAGCCAAGUCGCGUGAGGGAAGACGGCCCUACGGGUUGUAAACCUCUUUUGUCGGGGAGCAAAGCGAGUCACGUGUGACUCAUUGAGAGUACCCGAAGAAAAAGCAUCGGCUAACUCCGUGCCAGCAGCCGCGGUAAUACGGAGGAUGCGAGCGUUAUCCGGAUUUAUUGGGUUUAAAGGGUGCGUAGGCGGGCUUUUAAGUCAGCGGUAAAAAUUCGGGGCUCAACCCCGUCCGGCCGUUGAAACUGGGG